This 1444-nucleotide ribosomal RNA is filed under the name Curtobacterium sp. 4135. Its description in RNAcentral is "bacterial SSU rRNA". It matches the Rfam family "Bacterial small subunit ribosomal RNA". Lineage: Bacteria; Bacillati; Actinomycetota; Actinomycetes; Micrococcales; Microbacteriaceae. The record is from RNAcentral.
GACGAACGCUGGCGGCGUGCUUAACACAUGCAAGUCGAACGAUGAUGCCCAGCUUGCUGGGUGGAUUAGUGGCGAACGGGUGAGUAACACGUGAGUAACCUGCCCCUGACUCUGGGAUAAGCGUUGGAAACGACGUCUAAUACUGGAUAUGAUCACUGGCCGCAUGGUCUGGUGGUGGAAAGAUUUUUUGGUUGGGGAUGGACUCGCGGCCUAUCAGCUUGUUGGUGAGGUAGUGGCUCACCAAGGCGACGACGGGUAGCCGGCCUGAGAGGGUGACCGGCCACACUGGGACUGAGACACGGCCCAGACUACUACGGGAGGCAGCAGUGGGGAAUAUUGCACAAUGGGCGAAAGCCUGAUGCAGCAACGCCGCGUGAGGGAUGACGGCCUUCGGGUUGUAAACCUCUUUUAGUAGGGAAGAAGCGAAAGUGACGGUACCUGCAGAAAAAGCACCGGCUAACUACGUGCCAGCAGCCGCGGUAAUACGUAGGGUGCAAGCGUUGUCCGGAAUUAUUGGGCGUAAAGAGCUCGUAGGCGGUUUGUCGCGUCUGCUGUGAAAUCCCGAGGCUCAACCUCGGGCUUGCAGUGGGUACGGGCAGACUAGAGUGCGGUAGGGGAGAUUGGAAUUCCUGGUGUAGCGGUGGAAUGCGCAGAUAUCAGGAGGAACACCGAUGGCGAAGGCAGAUCUCUGGGCCGUAACUGACGCUGAGGAGCGAAAGCAUGGGGAGCGAACAGGAUUAGAUACCCUGGUAGUCCAUGCCGUAAACGUUGGGCGCUAGAUGUAGGGACCUUUCCACGGUUUCUGUGUCGUAGCUAACGCAUUAAGCGCCCCGCCUGGGGAGUACGGCCGCAAGGCUAAAACUCAAAGGAAUUGACGGGGGCCCGCACAAGCGGCGGAGCAUGCGGAUUAAUUCGAUGCAACGCGAAGAACCUUACCAAGGCUUGACAUACACCGGAAACGGCCAGAGAUGGUCGCCCCCUUGUGGUCGGUGUACAGGUGGUGCAUGGUUGUCGUCAGCUCGUGUCGUGAGAUGUUGGGUUAAGUCCCGCAACGAGCGCAACCCUCGUUCUAUGUUGCCAGCGGGUUAUGCCGGGGACUCAUAGGAGACUGCCGGGGUCAACUCGGAGGAAGGUGGGGAUGACGUCAAAUCAUCAUGCCCCUUAUGUCUUGGGCUUCACGCAUGCUACAAUGGCCGGUACAAAGGGCUGCGAUACCGUAAGGUGGAGCGAAUCCCAAAAAGCCGGUCUCAGUUCGGAUUGAGGUCUGCAACUCGACCUCAUGAAGUCGGAGUCGCUAGUAAUCGCAGAUCAGCAACGCUGCGGUGAAUACGUUCCCGGGCCUUGUACACACCGCCCGUCAAGUCAUGAAAGUCGGUAACACCCGAAGCCGGUGGCCUAACCCUUGUGGAAGGAGCCGUCGAAGGUGGGAUCGGUGAUUAGGACU